GACGAACGCUGGCGGCGUGCUUAACACAUGCAAGUCGAACGGAAAGGCCCUGCCUUUGUGGGGUGCUCGAGUGGCGAACGGGUGACUAACACGUGAGUAACCUGCCCUUGACUUUGGGAUAACUUCAUGAAACUGGGGCUAAUACCGGAUAGGAGCUCCUGCUGCAGGGUGGGGGUUGGAAAGUUUCGGCGGUUGGGGAUGGACUCGCGGCUUAUCAGCUUGUUGGUGGGGUAGUGGCUAACCAAGGGUUUGACGGGUAGCAGGCCUGAGAGGGUGACCGGACAAAUUGGGAUGGGGAUACGACCCGGACUAGAAUGGGAGGCAGCGGAGGGGAAUAUAGCACAGGGGGCGGAGGCAAAAUCGAGCAACGCAGCGUGGGGGAUGACGGCCUUCGGGUUGUAAACCAAUUUCGCCUGAGCCGAGGCGUUAGUGACGGUAAUGGGUGAAGAAGCACCGGCUAACUACGUG
Molecule: ribosomal RNA, 468 nt
Filed under: uncultured bacterium
Lineage: Bacteria
Description: partial 16S ribosomal RNA
Rfam family: Bacterial small subunit ribosomal RNA
Source: RNAcentral